AAAUGAAGGAAUGUAUCUUUUUGAAGAGA
Molecule: non-coding RNA, 29 nt
Filed under: Cricetulus griseus (Chinese hamster)
Lineage: Eukaryota; Metazoa; Chordata; Mammalia; Rodentia; Cricetidae
Source: RNAcentral